This 347-nucleotide unclassified non-coding RNA is filed under the name soil metagenome. RNAcentral describes it as "partial contains 5.8S ribosomal RNA, internal transcribed spacer 2, and large subunit ribosomal RNA". The stretch from base 1 to 121 matches the Rfam family "5.8S ribosomal RNA", at positions 35 to 154 of the family's 154-position model. The record is from RNAcentral.
GAUGAAGAACGCAGCGAAAUGCGAUAAGUAAUGCGAAUUGCAGAAUUCCAGUGAAUCAUCGAAUCUUUGAACGCACAUUGCGCCCGCUGGUAUUCCGGCGGGCAUGCCUGUUCGAGCGUCAUUUCAACCCUCAAGCCCCCGGGUUUGGUGUUGGGGAUCGGCUCUGCCUUCUGGCGGUGCCGCCCCCGAAAUACAUUGGCGGUCUCGCUGCAGCCUCCAUUGCGUAGUAGCUAACACCUCGCAACUGGAACGCGGCGCGGCCAUGCCGUAAAACCCCAACUUCUGAAUGUUGACCUCGGAUCAGGUAGGAAUACCCGCUGAACUUAAGCAUAUCAAUAAGCGGAGGA